UGGGGAAUUUUGCACAAUGGGGGCAACCCUGAUGCAGCGACGCCGCGUGAUUUAGAAGGCCUUCGGGUUGUAAAAAUCUUUUGUAUAGGAAGAAAAUGACAGUACUAUACGAAUAAGGUCCGGCUAAUUACGUGCCAGCAGCCGCGGUAAUACGUAAGGACCGAGCGUUGUCCGGAAUCAUUGGGCGUAAAGGGUACGUAGGCGGUUAAAAAAGUUAGAAGUGAAAGGCUAUAGCUCAACUAUAGUAAGCUUUUAAAACUGUUUAACUUGAGAGAUGGAAGGGAAAGUGGAAUUCCUAGUGUAGCGGUGAAAUGCGCAGAUAUUAGGAGGAAUACCGGUGGCGAAGGCGACUUUCUGGCCAUUAUCUGACGCUGAGGUACGAAAGCGGGGGUAGCAAACAGG
This 402-nucleotide ribosomal RNA is filed under the name Actinomycetes bacterium. RNAcentral describes it as "Actinobacteria bacterium partial 16S ribosomal RNA". It matches the Rfam family "Bacterial small subunit ribosomal RNA", at positions 355 to 776 of the family's 1533-position model. Lineage: Bacteria; Bacillati; Actinomycetota; Actinomycetes. The record is from RNAcentral.